GUGGGGAAUCUUAGACAAUGGGGGAAACCCUGAUCUAGCCAUGCCGCGUGAUCGAUGAAGGCCUUAGGGUUGUAAAGAUCUUUCAGGUGGGAAGAUAAUGACUGUACCACCAGAAGAAGCCCCGGCUAACUCCGUGCCAGCAGCCGCGGUAAUACGGAGGGGGCUAGCGUUGUUCGGAAUUACUGGGCGUAAAGCGCACGUAGGCGGAUUGGAAAGUUGGGGGUGAAAUCCCGGGGCGCAACCCCGGAACUGCCUUCAAAACUCCCAGUCUUGAGUUCGAGAGAGGUGAGUGGAAUUCCGAGUGUAGAGGUGAAAUUCGUAGAUAUUCGGAAGAACACCAGUGGCGAAGGCGGCUCACUGGACCGUAGUUGACGCUGAGGUGCGAAAGCGUGGGGAGCAAACAGGAUUAGAAACCCCUGUAGUCC
Molecule: ribosomal RNA, 425 nt
Filed under: uncultured bacterium
Lineage: Bacteria
Description: partial 16S ribosomal RNA
Rfam family: Bacterial small subunit ribosomal RNA
Source: RNAcentral